ACCAGCGGCGAGUAAACGAGGAACCGACCGGUUCACUUUGACCUCCUCUCGUAGAUUCAUACCCGCACGCAACUCCCGAAUUAGCUGGGGCACUAGAAAAACCGCAGGUCACCCACGUCCUUCUCCAACCUGCAAGACUAUCCCACGUCCCUCACACAGCACGAAAGAAAAACAGCCCAAAAUUUCCUCGUGAUGGCCCCGACGGCCGCCGCGACCUCCUCCUGAUGCUGCUCCGCCUCGAGGACGCCACACCACGAUUCGCACCGGCGCCUCAUCAGCCGUGCCCUCCCGGCCUCCCCACAGCCUCCUCUCCCCGCGCCCCCGCGAUGUCGUCCUGCGCACCACCGCUUCUCUGGGCGCUCAGAUCCGGGGCUCCCCACAAUUCCCGAGGCCUCCGCUGGUGAUCCGUAGCGAGGAGGAGCCGGCGGCAGGGAAGGGAACGGGCACCAUGGACUACACGUCGGAAGACAAGCACGGAGGACGUUCGCGGCAUCGGGUACCACCCCGUCCCCGCCGGUUACUCGUGCAGGAGUCCAUGCUCGACUGGGUACCGCUCUCUCCACCAGCUGCCUCGUCUGGGAGACCGCCCACUUUGUAGUUGGCCUCAAUGUAUAGAGCUCCUUCAAUCAGAUCGCCUCAUAUUUCUUUGUAUUUAUGCCAGGGAAAAUGCCAACCCAGUCAGCUACCUUCUGGAUAUCAUGUUUUGGUGACUGCUUCAGGAUUACGGGAGGAAGUUGGAGUAAAUCCUUGUGUGUUGGCUUCAAUUUUUGGGUUUGGAUAUCUACCCAACAUAUAAACUGACUGCUGUACAAGGGAAGUUCUGUAUUUGUGAGAUAAGUUUCUAUAAUGCAGAACUGCAAGAAUAACCCUAGAACCAUCUUUACAGUCUGAUGUUACUUAAUAAUAAAUAAUUAGUUACAUAUACCAGAGGAUUUAAAUGCUUAGCAUUUCAUGUAUUAGUUAGAAAUUGAUGUGUGAUUUGAAGGCUCAUAUUGGCUUUUCAUUAUCCUUCUUUUUCUCUGAAAGGCUAGAGAGAAAGCGUUAAAGAAAGCUUCACAGUUUUGUCAAUGAUCAAAAUUUUGUAGCUAAUGAUUAUUUACCCAUGUUUGCAUGAUGUUAUGUAAGUGAUUCUCUCUCUUUUUCUUUCUUUUCCACAUUUUAAAAUUGCAGAUAUUGACUAUGAGAUGAAAUUGUCAUUGUUCAUAAUUUAAAUGUUUGACAAAAGGCCGGAGCGAAGAAUGCUAGCUUCUUAAUGCUACUUCACGGGUUUCCAUGUCGAUGUUGCCCCUUUUGGACGGAGAUGGUUGUGUCAAAGGUGUCAAUGGCACAUGUUCUUCGCCAUAUCAGGCCUCUCAUGUGCCUACCUCAUGAAGCCAUUGAUCUGGUACUACAUAGACUAAGGACGGGCUGAAGAAAAUGUGAGCCAUGGGAGGAGAGAUUUACUGGAGCAAGGUGAACGACGGUGCAGCGACCAGAUGGGAGACGCCGGGAAUGCAUGUUUUUCGUUCUUGAUGCCUUGGCUGUCGUACACAAAAGUGGAUGGGAGAUCUGCAAGUUAAAGCAAAUAUCAUGGUAUUCCUCUCAUGCACCUUGGCGUCACAUAUACCCUCAUAACCUCUGCGUCUCUGCCUUUACCGUUCGUCGCUUCUCUGUUCCUGACAAGUAUGGACUUCUCUUUCACUUCCUUGCUUGUGUAUAGAUGCUAUGAUGUAUUGUAAUAUGGAUUGGAUUUCAUAUACAUGUACUAUAUUGAUUUUAAGUGUUACACACAUGGCUCUUGGUUGUGUAACGACUCUUCUUCUAAUUGAUACGACAACAUUUCUUGUUCAUGCUGUAACUAUGAUCAUGCUUUAAGUAAUUUUUAUUACUGAUGUGAAUGCACUCA
This is a long non-coding RNA of Aegilops tauschii subsp. strangulata, 1885 nucleotides long. RefSeq lists it as uncharacterized. The record is from RefSeq and is a predicted model, not a curated record. Lineage: Eukaryota; Viridiplantae; Streptophyta; Magnoliopsida; Poales; Poaceae.